RNAcentral lists this long non-coding RNA (671 nucleotides) under Sorghum bicolor (sorghum). Its description in RNAcentral is "long non-coding RNA (SBIC_LNC002328)". Lineage: Eukaryota; Viridiplantae; Streptophyta; Magnoliopsida; Poales; Poaceae. The record is from RNAcentral.
GUCUGGAAGGCCUCCACGGCAUCUAGUUCUUCAGUCUGAUCUGUGUUGGGUUUGUUUUUGUUUUUUUUCUCUUGCUGUUUCAUUGAUAAACAAUAACAGCAAAGUUGUCUCAGAUCAAAUGCAAGAGAAGUGGUGUGUAAUUGUGGAGGUAUUUCUACAAGUUACUUUUGACUUACAUAUGCCUGUAAGUGUGCCACAUAGCAGCGAGAACCCGUAGUCUGUUGAUACUUGACUUUACUGCGGUUCUGCUUGUUCUUUUCACAUGUUUCCUACGCAAGAAUUAACAUGUAACUAAGAUGAGAUGAUAAGGUCAAAAUGAGAAGAUCAUUUGGAAAGGAAGAAUAUAUGAGAAGAAGCCCAUACCAUGUUCUUUGGAUCAGUCCACUUUGCAACUAGUGUCUUCCACUGUGCAUCAGUCAUGUAAGGAACAGGAGAAGUUGUAGGAACCUCAUUUGCAGGUACACCAUUAAAGUAUUUCUGCUUGAGACGAUAGCGCUGGUUUUUUACUGCAGAGCGCAGCAUAUCAGUGCAAGCUUGCUCUGUUGGCUUGUCGGUUUUGUUUAUGGCCAAGCGCCCCUAGGCAUAUGAUAAUUCCAUAGUUAGUUAGCCAAUUCAGGUUAAGCAAUACACAAGUUAAGUAUAUAGAGAAUAGUGCACUUACACCAAGCUGU